Molecule: ribosomal RNA, 484 nt
Filed under: uncultured Roseateles sp.
Lineage: Bacteria; Pseudomonadati; Pseudomonadota; Betaproteobacteria; Burkholderiales; Sphaerotilaceae
Description: bacterial SSU rRNA
Rfam family: Bacterial small subunit ribosomal RNA
Source: RNAcentral
UACCGGAGGCAGCAGUGGGGAAUUUUGGACAAUGGGCGCAAGCCUGAUCCAGCCAUGCCGCGUGCGGGAAGAAGGCCUUCGGGUUGUAAACCGCUUUUGUCAGGGAAGAAAAGGUUCUGGCUAAUACCCGGGACUCAUGACGGUACCUGAAGAAUAAGCACCGGCUAACUACGUGCCAGCAGCCGCGGUAAUACGUAGGGUGCAAGCGUUAAUCGGAAUUACUGGGCGUAAAGCGUGCGCAGGCGGUUAUGCAAGACAGAGGUGAAAUCCCCGGGCUCAACCUGGGAACUGCCUUUGUGACUGCAUGGCUAGGGUACGGUAGAGGGGGAUGGAAUUCCGCGUGUAGCAGUGAAAUGCGUAGAUAUGCGGAGGAACACCGAUGGCGAAGGCAAUCCCCUGGACCUGUACUGACGCUCAUGCACGAAAGCGUGGGGAGCAAACAGGAUUAUAUACCCUGGUAGUCCACGCCCUAAACGAUGUCAAC